CCAGGAUUAGAUACCCUGUUAGUCCACGCUGUAAACGAUGUCGAUUUGGAGUUUGUUGCCUAGAGUGAUGGGCUCCGAAGCUAACGCGAUAAAUCGACCGCCUGGGGAGUACGGCCGCAAGGUUAAAACUCAAAUGAAUUGACGGGGGCCCGCACAAGCGGUGGAGCAUGUGGUUUAAUUCGAUGCAACGCGAAGAACCUUACCUGGUCUUGACAUCCAUAGAAUUCUGCAGAGAUGUGGGAGCGCCUUCGGGAACUAUGAGACAGGUGCUGCAUGGCUGUCGUCAGCUCGUGUUGUGAAAUGUUGGGUUAAGUCCCGCAACGAGCGCAACCCUUAUUCUUUGUUGCUAGCGAUUUGGUCGGGAACUCAAAGGAGACUGCCGUUGAUAAAGCGGAGGAAGGUGGGGACGACGUCAAGUCAUCAUGGCCCUUACGACCAGGGCUACACACGUGCUACAAUGGCGUAUACAAAGGGAAGCGAAGGUGCGAGCUGGAGCGGAUCUCAUAAAGUACGUCUAAGUUCGGAUUGGAGUCUGCAACUCGACUCCAUGAAGUCGGAAUCGCUAGUAAUCGUAGAUCAGAAUGCUACGGUGAAUACGUUCCCGGGCCUUGUACACACCGCCCGUCACACCAUGGGAGUGGGUUGCACCAGAAGUAGAUAGCUUAACCGCGAGGGGGGCGUUUACCACGGUGUGAUUCAUGACUGGGGUGAAGUCGUAACAAGGUAACCA
This 730-nucleotide ribosomal RNA is filed under the name uncultured Enterobacteriaceae bacterium. Its description in RNAcentral is "bacterial SSU rRNA". It matches the Rfam family "Bacterial small subunit ribosomal RNA", at positions 772 to 1502 of the family's 1533-position model. Lineage: Bacteria; Pseudomonadati; Pseudomonadota; Gammaproteobacteria; Enterobacterales; Enterobacteriaceae. The record is from RNAcentral.